AAGUCGUAACAAGGUUUCCGUAGGUGAACCUGCGGAAGGAUCAUUAUCGAGUUAGGGUUCUCUUUGAGGCCCGACCUCCCAACCCUUUGUUUAAUAUGACCUCUGUUGCUUCGGCGGGCCGUCUCCCCCGCAAGGGGAUGCGCCGGCGGUCCUCAGUGACCUCUGGAGAGCGCUCGUCGAUAGCCAUCUCUAAAACUCUUGACAAAACGACCAGUCUAAAAAUGUACACGUUAGCAAUAACAAAACAAAACUUUCAACAACGGAUCUCUUGGUUCUG
This 277-nucleotide unclassified non-coding RNA is filed under the name air metagenome. Its description in RNAcentral is "partial contains small subunit ribosomal RNA, internal transcribed spacer 1, and 5.8S ribosomal RNA". The stretch from base 1 to 46 matches the Rfam family "Eukaryotic small subunit ribosomal RNA", at positions 1786 to 1831 of the family's 1831-position model. The record is from RNAcentral.